GGAUAACUCCGGGAAACCGGGGCUAAUACCGGAUGGUUGUUUGAACCGCAUGGUUCAGACAUAAAAGGUGGCUUCGGCUACCACUUACAGAUGGACCCGCGGCGCAUUAGCUAGUUGGUGAGGUAACGGCUCACCAAGGCGACGAUGCGUAGCCGACCUGAGAGGGUGAUCGGCCACACUGGGACUGAGACACGGCCCAGACUCCUACGGGAGGCAGCAGUAGGGAAUCUUCCGCAAUGGACGAAAGUCUGACGGAGCAACGCCGCGUGAGUGAUGAAGGUUUUCGGAUCGUAAAGCUCUGUUGUUAGGGAAGAACAAGUGCCGUUCAAAUAGGGCGGCACCUUGACGGUACCUAACCAGAAAGCCACGGCUAACUACGUGCCAGCAGCCGCGGUAAUACGUAGGUGGCAAGCGUUGUCCGGAAUUAUUGGGCGUAAAGGGCUCGCAGGCGGUUUCUUAAGUCUGAUGUGAAAGCCCCCGGCUCAACCGGGGAGGGUCAUUGGAAACUGGGGAACUUGAGUGCAGAAGAGGAGAGUGGAAUUCCACGUGUAGCGGUGAAAUGCGUAGAGAUGUGGAGGAACACCAGUGGCGAAGGCGACUCUCUGGUCUGUAACUGACGCUGAGGAGCGAAAGCGUGGGGAGCGAACAGGAUUAGAUACCCUGGUAGUCCACGCCGUAAACGAUGAGUGCUAAGUGUUAGGGGGUUUCCGCCCCUUAGUGCUGCAGCUAACGCAUUAAGCACUCCGCCUGGGGAGUACGGUCGCAAGACUGAAACUCAAAGGAAUUGACGGGGGCCCGCACAAGCGGUGGAGCAUGUGGUUUAAUUCGAAGCAACGCGAAGAACCUUACCAGGUCUUGACAUCCUCUGACAAUCCUAGAGAUAGGACGUCCCCUUCGGGGGCAGAGUGACAGGUGGUGCAUGGUUGUCGUCAGCUCGUGUCGUGAGAUGUUGGGUUAAGUCCCGCAACGAGCGCAACCCUUGAUCUUAGUUGCCAGCAUUCAGUUGGGCACUCUAAGGUGACUGCCGGUGACAAACCGGAGGAAGGUGGGGAUGACGUCAAAUCAUCAUGCCCCUUAUGACCUGGGCUACACACGUGCUACAAUGGACAGAACAAAGGGCAGCGAAACCGCGAGGUUAAGCCAAUCCCACAAAUCUGUUCUCAGUUCG
Molecule: ribosomal RNA, 1168 nt
Filed under: Bacillus amyloliquefaciens
Lineage: Bacteria; Bacillati; Bacillota; Bacilli; Caryophanales; Bacillaceae
Also listed under: 1 other name
Description: bacterial SSU rRNA
Rfam family: Bacterial small subunit ribosomal RNA
Source: RNAcentral